CCCCCCCUCACUGAUUGUAACUUUGUUGUGAUCGUACGUAACUUAUCAGUGGUUGCUUUCCUCCCGGGUUCAAGGCACUCCUCUAAUGCAAGUUACCCCAGAAACAUCGUGGUCGGUGGGCAGGGGAGACUUCCUUAGCAUCAAGAACUAUUGGAUUCCUCUACUUCAUGUUACCUACCCACCUGACCAGAUUCCCUUCCUUGCUGGGUUAACAAUGGAUAAAUCAUUACAUGGACUUCCGCCAAUAACGAGAUCAAAGGGACCCCAAUCACUCAGCUGAAAGAUUGUGUGUCUAACUAUCCCUGCCUCCCCAGUGUUUAUAAAGUUUGUCGCUGCAUUCCAAUCCUUCCAUGACAGAUAGCGAGUUGAACACUUCACAAGCAGCUUAUACAAGUAGUAUCCUCACCUCAUAUUCGACUUCCCCAACGCUAACAAACUUACUCAGCCGAUUAUGCCAGUUGUCGCGACGAUGUAACAACCCUUUCUCAGUUGCCACACAAAGGUAACAACUCCAAGAGGUUGAAUCAACAUCAAAACCAUCAUCAGUGGUGUGGAAGUUAAUGGUGUACCAUAUGUAAUGAAACACCACACCUGCAGCAACUCUGGUUGUCACAUAAGAAUAUUCGCUUUCCACCCCCACACACACAGCAAUAACACGAGUAACCGCUGUCAUCCAGCAAGUAACAACUCUCACGGAUGAAUGAGAAUUAUUUUGAAGCCACGAACCUUCAUGAAGACUUCACUUCUCUGUUUGGUGAAAUCCUGGCAGUUCAUCUCAGGUUUGCUGAUGGUUGUUUUAACUUUCUUCUCAGAACACCUGUAUAACCCUUCGGCAAGAUUGAAAGAUAACCUUCGGGAUAAAACUUCUCUUUUGCCCAAGUGAUUCCACUUGCAUUUGAUUCGAGGGUUUUCCCUGAUGAUAAAACUUGAAUGGUUGAUCUGGUAUUCUGAUGUUGGCCAGCCACGCAAAUAAGCGAACCAACCAAACACAACCCACCAACCUGAUCUGUGAGCAGCUUCCUUUAUUGCUAAAUCAACAGCAAGAUUAUACGAUCUGUUCCUGUUGUACGACUUCUCUUUAAAGAAUCAUUCAAACCUCUGUAAAUUUCUCGUCACCAAACCACUUGAUCCAUCUCGUUGGGUCAUCAGGGGGGUCGAUCGGGCCACUGAGUUCCCCCGUGUUCGCGAUACGACCCGGCCACCAACCGAACCCACGACACUUACCCCACACUAACUGCAUUAAGCAUGGGUUAAAUGUAACUUAUUAUCCUUGCAAAUUUAGCUACGCAAAUAUAAACACUUGUAAUUAA
Molecule: non-coding RNA, 1310 nt
Organism: Ciona intestinalis (vase tunicate)
Lineage: Eukaryota; Metazoa; Chordata; Ascidiacea; Phlebobranchia; Cionidae
Source: RefSeq, a predicted model, not a curated record